CACGUGGGGAACCUGCCCCAUAGUCUGGGAUACCACUUGGAAACAGGUGCUAAUACCGGAUAAGAAAGCGGAUCGCAUGAUCAGCUUUUAAAAGGCGGCGUAAGCUGUCGCUAUGGGAUGGCCCCGCGGUGCAUUAGCUAGUUGGUAAGGUAAAGGCUUACCAAGGCGAUGAUGCAUAGCCGAGUUGAGAGACUGAUCGGCCACAUUGGGACUGAGACACGGCCCAAACUCCUACGGGAGGCAGCAGUG
This 249-nucleotide ribosomal RNA is filed under the name uncultured Lactobacillus sp. Its description in RNAcentral is "partial 16S ribosomal RNA". It matches the Rfam family "Bacterial small subunit ribosomal RNA", at positions 114 to 356 of the family's 1533-position model. Lineage: Bacteria; Bacillati; Bacillota; Bacilli; Lactobacillales; Lactobacillaceae. The record is from RNAcentral.